This 254-nucleotide ribosomal RNA is filed under the name uncultured bacterium. Its description in RNAcentral is "partial 16S ribosomal RNA". It matches the Rfam family "Bacterial small subunit ribosomal RNA", at positions 524 to 776 of the family's 1533-position model. The record is from RNAcentral.
CACGUAGGGUGCGAGCGUUGUCCGGAAUUAUUGGGCGUAAAGAGCUCGUAGGCGGUUCGUCGCGUCGGCUGUGAAAUCCCGAGGCUCAACCUCGGGUCUGCAGUCGAUACGGGCGGACUGGAGUUCGGCAGGGGAGACUGGAAUUCCUGGUGUAGCGGUGAAAUGCGCAGAUAUCAGGAGGAACACCGGUGGCGAAGGCGGGUCUCUGGGCCGAUACUGACGCUGAGGAGCGAAAGCGUGGGGGAGCGAACAGG